GCCGGCGUGGUGGAAUAGGUAGACACAGCAGACUUAAAAUCUGCUGACACUCGUGUCGUGCCGGUUCAAGUCCGGCCGCCGGUA
This 84-nucleotide transfer RNA is filed under the name Spirochaeta sp. LUC14_002_19_P3. It matches the Rfam family "tRNA". From Rfam's summary of the family: Transfer RNA (tRNA) molecules are approximately 80 nucleotides in length. Their secondary structure includes four short double-helical elements and three loops (D, anti-codon, and T loops). The record is from Rfam by way of RNAcentral. Lineage: Bacteria; Pseudomonadati; Spirochaetota; Spirochaetia; Spirochaetales; Spirochaetaceae.